RNAcentral lists this ribosomal RNA (429 nucleotides) under Actinomycetes bacterium. RNAcentral describes it as "Actinobacteria bacterium partial 16S ribosomal RNA". It matches the Rfam family "Bacterial small subunit ribosomal RNA", at positions 355 to 776 of the family's 1533-position model. The record is from RNAcentral. Lineage: Bacteria; Bacillati; Actinomycetota; Actinomycetes.
UAGGGAAUCUUCCGCAAUGGGCGGAAGCUUGACGGAGCAACGCCGCGUGAGUGAUGAAGGUCUUCGGAUCGUAAAACUCUGUUAUUAGGGAAGAACAAAUGUGUAAGUAACUAUGCACGUCUUGACGGUACCUAAUCAGAAAGCCACGGCUAACUACGUGCCAGCAGCCGCGGAAAUACGUAGGUGGCAAGCGUUAUCCGGAAUUAUUGGGCGUAAAGCGCGCGUAGGCGGUUUUUUAAGUCUGAUGUGAAAGCCCACGGCUCAACCGUGGAGGGUCAUUGGAAACUGGAAAACUUGAGUGCAGAAGAGGAAAGUGGAAUUCCAUGUGUAGCGGUGAAAUGCGCAGAGAUAUGGAGGAACACCAGUGGCGAAGGCGACUUUCUGGUCUGUAACUGACGCUGAUGUGCGAAAGCGUGGGGAUCAAACAGG